Molecule: long non-coding RNA, 629 nt
Filed under: Monodelphis domestica (gray short-tailed opossum)
Lineage: Eukaryota; Metazoa; Chordata; Mammalia; Didelphimorphia; Didelphidae
Description: lncRNA (ENSMODG00000050979.1)
Source: RNAcentral
AUGUGCAUGUAAAAUUUUAAAUACUGGCAGAAAUCUGAUGUAUGCCUAGAAAGAUCCUAUACUCUGAAAUAACAGUUGAUGGGAAUAUUUUUUAAGGACAAUGGAGCAGUAAUGUGGCAAAUGCCUUGAAUAUACUUCCCUUAGGGGCUCAUUGAAUUGGUGCCAGACUUAAUGUGGACACCUGAUCAAUUUUGGGCUCAGGAUUCUCAAGAUCAAGUAAACUUCCCAAAAAAAUUGUGGAGGGCCUAGCAGUACCAGAUCUUAAACAGUACUAUAAAGCAAUGGUCAUCAAAACAAUAUGGCAGUGGUUAAGAGACAGGAGGGAGGAUCAGUGAAAUAGACUUGAGUCCUCAGGCACAAUGACAUCACCUCUCAGCUUCCAAAUAGUAUUUCUGAGACUCCUCUACUACUUUUGUUCCAGUGUCAGCUCCUUAUUCUCCUCUGUUAGUGAUUUGGAUCAUGGCCCAGAAGAUGCAGUUUCAACAAAAACAUUUUCAUGGAGGUUUGUUUCUUCCUCCCUCAGAAGAUUUUGAUAAUGUGUGAAACAAGUGUCGUGACACAGCUUCAACAUAUGACCUGUUGCAAUUUUUCUGCCUGUGUUUUUCAAUAAACUGUUGAAUUUUUUCCCA